Gossypium raimondii (Peruvian cotton) is the source of this 87-nucleotide small nucleolar RNA. It matches the Rfam family "Small nucleolar RNA Z102/R77". Rfam says of the family: Z102 and R77 and are members of the C/D class of snoRNA which contain the C (UGAUGA) and D (CUGA) box motifs. The record is from Rfam. Lineage: Eukaryota; Viridiplantae; Streptophyta; Magnoliopsida; Malvales; Malvaceae.
GAAUGAGAUGAUGAACUGAAUGUUUCCCUAUUGGUUUGAUUGCCGUGAUGAUGGCAUCUACAAUGUAUUAGCUCUAUCUGAUCAUUC